This 821-nucleotide long non-coding RNA is filed under the name Mustela putorius furo (domestic ferret). Its description in RNAcentral is "lncRNA (ENSMPUG00000031114.1)". The record is from RNAcentral. Lineage: Eukaryota; Metazoa; Chordata; Mammalia; Carnivora; Mustelidae.
AACCACUUGGAAGGGCACCGCACCCUUUCUCCAUAUCCUAUCCCUUCCAGCUGGCUGUUUGCUGAGUUAUAUGGUAUGCUUGAAAACGGUCAGCAACCAAACAUCAAAAAUGGACUCGGGCUCAAAAUUUCAUAAUCUGAAAUUUCCCUUGCAGGCUUAUGGCUUAGCUGAAAUACUACUGAGACCAACAGCUACCAAAAACUUGGAGAGAAUUCAAGUACUGGCAUUAUUUUCAAGUUUGGUGUUCAUUCCUGCCAAUAUUAGGAGCAGCAGCCUAUCGAGUAAUGGUCGCUAAAGACAAAUCAGAGCAAAUAUGAAGAAAGUACAUCAGUGGUAAAGCCAGCAGAGACAUGUUCUGUGUGGCUAGAAAUUAUGCAUGUUACAAUGAAAUCUUGGCUCAAAGCAGCAAAGACAUAUAUUCACGCACAUUUCUACUGUGGUGUGUAUAACAAUGUGGUCUUUUUUUGUUUGUUUUGAAAAUUGCUAGUAAAAUAUUAUUUUGUGAUCAAAGCAAAAGAAUUUGGAAAAUUGUGGCUUUUGGAAUAUUAUUCAAGACACUGUUUUAUGCAUAAAGAAAAUGAUGCUAAGGAAAUGUGAUUGCUCUGAGGUCAUACAAUUUGUGAUACAGCUUGAACCGCAUUCAAGACCUUUGCCAAGACCCAAUCUUUUACUUCUGAACAACAAGAGUUCACCGUCUGUUCCCAGGGUAUUCUAAUUUACAGGUGUUAACUGAUUUCAUCCUUCAACAAUAUAAAUCAGUUAUUAAUUGGUUCCAUUUAGCCCAAGAGGAAAUGGUGGGAUAGAAAUGUUGAAUGAUUUCU